GGCCAAUGGAAAGUAGAAAUAAGAAGAGCCCAGACUCUCAAUUUACAUAAGAAAAUAAAUAUGUGCAUGUGUAACACAAACAAGCUUGGUUUACAGAGGAAAGCUUGGUUCCCAAAUACAUCAAAAUCUGAUUUUCCAAACAAGCUUGAGAUGCACAAAGACCCAAAUUCAAAAAACAAACAAGACUAGGAUCCCAAUUCACAAACACACAAAUCAGAGAACUUGAAGCAUAGGAUCUGAAUUCAGAAAGAAAUUGAUGCUUGUAAUUGUUAUUUAGGAAAGACAAAAUUCAGAAAACAAACUACAUGACUCCAAACAAGCAUCUCAUUGCACAAACUUGUACCCGUUUCAAACAGGGUAAAGAUGGCACCCUCAACUCUAGCGGCCUUCACCAGCGAAAUACCGAACCUGCAAGUACUGAAAGAAAAUUUCGAACUUUUGAGAAUUUUCCGUAGUAAAAACAAUCAGCACAAUUCAGAUUGUGCAGGCGCGAAUAUACACGAUUGAAACAAAAAAUGGAAAGAGAAAGCAUCGAAAGGUGAAUACUCUUUCGUAAUCAGACCUAAUUGACCUCCUACAAAGAAAUAAACAGUCGAAAGCAACAAAAUUUGCCGAAACCAUGAAAUGUCCAAAAGCGGCAAAAGAAAAACCAUUGAGCUCCAUAUUUUUUGCAGACCCAAGUCCGAUUGUGUAGGAAAAAAAAAUCAAAAAUCCUAAUAAACUUUGCAUACUCCUUUAUAAUACAUGAGCAAGAUAUGAUUUUGAAACAGGAAUUUCCCGAAAAUGUCACAAAACUCACCUUCGAGAGGAUCUGACGCAAAAACUCACUUCAUCAGCUGAAUAACUCGUCUUCGUUAUGUCGAAGGAGGCGGAUUUGCAGACCCCUACCCCUCCGAUUUGAAGUAAUUUGAGGGAUAAAAUUGUAAAGUUGAAAUCUAAUAUCAUUUCACUGUUCAAAUCGAUAUUAUUCAACUGGGGGUGAGCGGUGGUUGUAUUUUCUCUUCCGAACAGUGAUUUUGGAGCGGGCUUUGAUUUUGGUGCGGGCCUUCAUUAUUAUUUACAAAGCCUAUCAAACAGUGGGUUAGGGUGAGAAAUAUAAGUUAUCUCAUAUAAGAUACCCUAUCAAACAUUGCCUUA
This 1137-nucleotide long non-coding RNA is filed under the name Salvia miltiorrhiza (redroot sage). Its description in RNAcentral is "long non-coding RNA (SMIL_LNC004646)". The record is from RNAcentral. Lineage: Eukaryota; Viridiplantae; Streptophyta; Magnoliopsida; Lamiales; Lamiaceae.